Long non-coding RNA from Papaver somniferum (opium poppy), 609 nucleotides. RefSeq lists it as uncharacterized. The transcript has 3 exons. NCBI's taxonomy places the organism in Eukaryota, Viridiplantae, Streptophyta, Magnoliopsida, Ranunculales, Papaveraceae. The record is from RefSeq and is a predicted model, not a curated record.
UACAUAUCUACGUCCAAGCAAUCUGUUUUUCUUCAACGCCUGUGCUACUGAAAAACCCGAGAAGAAUUCAGGUGAAAAUCGUGAACCAUAAUCUAAACUUUUCGAAAUCAACCUCAGAGGAAUAUAGUGAGAUCCUACUUUGAGAUUCUGGUUUUUGAUUCGAGAAAAAGAUGGUGAAGUUCGUGAACCCUUGGGUUAGUCAAUCCCAGUAGUGAAUUAAGAGAAAUCAAAAGGGGGAUUUUUGCUCUUCAUGUUUUGAGAUUGAAGGUUAACAGUGUCUUUGGAUUCGAUAGGCGAACUACAUAAGUUAAGGUUUGAGUUGCGAUUAGAGUGGCAGGUGACUGUGAUGUAAGUGGUGUGGACUUGGGCGAAGGAGAGAUUGACGUUUGGGUCGAGUAAAGUGUUUGGUUUGUGUAUAGGGUGGUAGCUGCCGAUAACUCUUUUGGAAGCAGUUCUGUGUAUAUAGUCUCCUAGAUGGAUGUACUUUUGUUUGUAUGUAAAGUACUAACUAGUGAAUAGUGUAUAAUUAUCUAUCUCCAACUCUUUGUAAGAAAAUAGCUAGUAAUGUACUGAAUAUAGCUAUCUUGGAUCCAGAACUGUUUUCUCUUG